AAGUAAUAUAAAUCAAAAGGCUGAUAUAGUGACUACAUUUGCGUGUUAUAAUUUUUAAAUUCGGUCCACUCACUUAGACAUUAUAAGCAAAUAUAUCGUGGUAGAAAAGGAAAGCACAGCCCAUUAGAGUAACCGGAGUGGCCAAAAAAGGUGAAGAGAAUUUGAGGCCCAUGGAGGCAGCUGCCGAAUUUAUAUUCAUACAAUCAGCUGGAUUGAAACCACGUUUGCACAAGGUUUCAAGUCACACAUCAAAGGUAAUACAAAAGUAAUAUGCGUAAUUUUCGGUCGUUUACACAUGCAUUUAUCGUAUGAAACGAAUUUAGUGGUAGUGAAAGUAACCAAAAUAGAAACUUUGCAUUUAAUUUAAUAUAACAAAGUUAAAUAAAUACUGAUCAAAAUGAAAAGUCGUGAAAAGAAAAAAUAAAAAUUAAUAUUAUAUAUGUGAAAAAAAUAAGUGACAAAUGUGCCAGUGAGUAGUGCCCAGUGAGAAAUCGUCGCGCAAAAAAAAUUUCAGGUCGGGCUUUAGAUUAAUUACACAAGUGUUAAGUGGUAAUUUGUUGGCAUUUCGGUGUUGCGUAUAAAAAAAAAGUCCACAUGUACGCGUUACCAGUGACGGCAAUUUAGUGGAUGGACCACCCACAAGUAAUCCUUGGACCACGGCAAAGAAGGAGCGCCAUCAGAAAUUACGUAUGGAGCUCGCAUUUGGAUCAUCAUGGAGCGAGGGCGAAAUAUGGUAUAAUAUUUUAAUUAAAUUUUUAUUUAUAUUAAAGUUUAGCAAGAAUUAUCAAUAUCAAUUUGGAAACAAUCAUCUGCCGUAAAAUCAUGGAAUUGCACCAUCAGAAGCAUCAUCAACAUAUGUGCACAACUUGAAUGCUGCCAAGGCGCAGUUUGCUGAAGCACAGAAAAGCUGAUGUGACUACGACCAUCCCAUGUUGAAGCUAUCUGGGAUGCCGCCAGCUGGAAGGAUAUCUUUAAUCACCUCGUUGCCGCUGCUAAGAGAUGUUUGAGUCAUCCAAGCUUUAAUUGACCUAGAGAAAAAUUCGAAUUUGUGGGACGAAUGUUGGGCAAAGCGGUGCUUACUCGUAAAGGAUAAAAUGAAGGAGCUAGAAGUGCAUUCGGUGGUAGAAAUCAACAUUAGGGCGGCACAAAAGGCGGUCGCCCAUGCAUGCGCGAUUCGUAGGAGAAAUUCGCGUGUGCUAUCUAACUUAGAGUAUUGAGAGUAUGACACAUCGCAUCAUCAAACUAAACAACUACAACCAAAACGCGCCGAAAAGAUUCCUUAAAUGAAAACUUUGACAUUGUUAAAAUAGUUGACGAUUUUGAAGUAGUUUAAAAUUUAUUGCCGGAAAAAAUGUAAAAGAAAUAUUUGCUUUC
Long non-coding RNA from Anastrepha obliqua, 1374 nucleotides. RefSeq lists it as uncharacterized. NCBI's taxonomy places the organism in Eukaryota, Metazoa, Arthropoda, Insecta, Diptera, Tephritidae. The record is from RefSeq and is a predicted model, not a curated record. The transcript is spliced from 4 exons.